AUCAUUGUCUAUUGUUCUCCAAACAGUAAACCACUAUUUCAUACUGAGAUUGUCGGCUGUGGGUAUAUUCCAAUUCCCCGUCUCCUCAUGAAUAUGAAGUGAAGGGCUCUGACCCUGAAAGUGGUUCUAAGCAGGGCAAAAUGGGGACUCGGAAGUGUGGAGGCUGCCUAAGUUGUCUGCUGAUUCCGCUUGCACUUUGGAGUAUAAUCGUGAACAUAUUAUUGUAUUUCCCGAAUGGGCAAACUUCCUAUGCAUCCAGCAAUAAACUCACCAACUACGUGUGGUAUUUUGAAGGAAUCUGUUUCUCAGGCAUCAUGAUGCUUAUAGUAACAACAGUUCUUCUGGUACUGGAGAAUAAAAACAACUAUAAAUGUUGCCAGAGUGAAAACUGCAGCAAAAAAUAUGUGACACUGCUGUCAAUUAUCUUUUCUUCCCUUGGAAUUGCUUUUUCUGGAUACUGCCUGGUCAUCUCUGCCUUGGGUCUUGUCCAGGGGCCAUAUUGCCGCACCCUUGAUGGCUGGGAGUAUGCUUUUGAAGGCACUGCUGGACGGUAAGGAAUAAUUCCCCAAACCAAGGAGGUCAGAAAAUCAGAAAUACCUGGCCUCAUGCUCAUGCUCACGCUCAUU
This 626-nucleotide small RNA is filed under the name Pongo abelii (Sumatran orangutan). RNAcentral describes it as "retained intron". The record is from RNAcentral. Lineage: Eukaryota; Metazoa; Chordata; Mammalia; Primates; Hominidae.